This 234-nucleotide ribosomal RNA is filed under the name uncultured bacterium. RNAcentral's name for it is "partial 16S ribosomal RNA". It matches the Rfam family "Bacterial small subunit ribosomal RNA", at positions 119 to 353 of the family's 1533-position model. The record is from RNAcentral.
CGGAACGUGUCCUGUUNUGGGGGAGUAACUGAUCGAAAGAUCAGCUAAUACCGCAUGAGACCUGAGGGUGAAAGCGGGGGAUCGCAAGACCUCGCGCGACAGGAGCGGCCGAUGUCUGAUUAGCUAGUUGGUGAGAUAAAAGCUUACCAAGGCGACGAUCAGUAGCUGGUCUGAGAGGAUGAUCAGCCACAUUGGGACUGAGACACGGCCCAGACUCCUACGGGAGGCAGCAUG